Aethina tumida (small hive beetle) is the source of this 1372-nucleotide long non-coding RNA. RefSeq lists it as uncharacterized. The transcript has 2 exons. The record is from RefSeq and is a predicted model, not a curated record. NCBI's taxonomy places the organism in Eukaryota, Metazoa, Arthropoda, Insecta, Coleoptera, Nitidulidae.
UAUAACAAUAAUACAAAAAAAAACAUGAUGGAAAUGAAUAAUAAAUCUUGUGAACAUGGAACCAUCAAGAAUUAUUGAGUCUUGAGGUUUGAACCAAGAACACGACAAUAAAAAGUGGAUGAUGGUUUACAACAAAGUUGUGAGACAAAAGUAUAUGGAAAAUACCAUAAUUCCUUUUUUAUAUUGCAUGCCUGUACAAUUGAAUUAAAAUAUGUAUAUACUUAUAAAUUGAGAACAUAAUAAUAUGAUGACUAAUAUAUAGUAGUAACAUACCAUUAAAGCAUCAAUAUAAUCAAAUAGCGACACAUAGUACCAUAUAAAAUUGUUUGAUCGUCACCAUUCUUAUUUUUACUUAUACAGGCUUUAUAUAGAUUAGUUUACAAAUGUAGGCACCUAUUACAAAUUCAUAUUGCUUGAGAUAAAAUAGAGAUAGACAUUUUGGUGUUAACAAUAAUUAAGAUCUAUCUCUAUUUUAAAUAAAUAUCUGAAAUACAUUAAUUUUUUUAAGACUAUAGUAUAUUAUACAAUAAAUAUUUGAUAUAGUUGCAGUUGCAGACAUACUUCUAAUUUCUUCUACUAACUCAAACACUUUUGGUGUUAUUUUGAAAGACUUAUUGUUUCAGAAACUAUAGGUAUUUGAAUACUUCCUGAUUUAUGUUUUCACAAAAUCCUGAGGAUUGAUCUUAAAUCUAUUUUGAUCAUUUUAGAAUUCUUACUAUGUAUUAGUUUGUACUGAAUUGUGUAAUUAAAUUUGUUUAAAUUUUAUAAUUUUAAAUCACAUUGAUUAUUUGAAGUUUUUUUUUAAUAGAAAAGUGUUCAAGUACCCUUAAAAUACCUAUUCUUUAAUGUAACGAGUAUAUGAUAUAUUACUGAUACAAAAUUCAUACAUAGAACUAUUUAAACUGAGUACCCAUAAAUUCUAGAAGAAACUAGAGAAAAUUUAAAUUGGUAUAAAAAGAAAAAUAAAAGUUUCGUGAUGUUAGUUUUUGGGGAAAAUUCAGAAUCCCUAAGGUUAAAGUACCUACGUUAUGAUUUAUUUUAUUUAUUUUGUUUUUUAGUGUAGCUCUAAUAUAUCACGACAACUAUUUUAAUAUUUUGUAGAUGUUGAAACUUCAUGAGUGACAAAUAUUAUAAUUUUAUUAGAUACUGUAAACUAGAACAAAUUGUAAAAUAGAUUUUUUUAUUUUCUAAAAUUAAAGUAGACUAACACAGCAAAUUAUGAUCAUGUUUAGAAACUGCGUCUUCUUAUCUGUGUAAAGAACGUACUAGUAUCACACUCACAUAUAAUAUGAAAUUCGCAUGACGAAAAUAAAUUUACAUAAUUAAAUAGGCUUGAACAAGUCCAAUAAGCAUUAUUCAGUUGCGAAAUCUU